GCAAGCCUGAACGAGCGAUGCCGCGUGAGUGAAGAAGGCCUUCGGGUCGUAAAGCUCUGUUGCGGGGGAAAAAAGGCAGCAUCAGGAAAUGGGUGCUGACUGAUGGUGCCCCGCCAGAAAGUCACGGCUAACUACGUGCC
RNAcentral lists this ribosomal RNA (140 nucleotides) under uncultured bacterium. RNAcentral describes it as "partial 16S ribosomal RNA". It matches the Rfam family "Bacterial small subunit ribosomal RNA", at positions 377 to 509 of the family's 1533-position model. The record is from RNAcentral.